Molecule: long non-coding RNA, 379 nt
Filed under: Mytilus galloprovincialis (Mediterranean mussel)
Lineage: Eukaryota; Metazoa; Mollusca; Bivalvia; Mytilida; Mytilidae
Source: RNAcentral
CUAAAAAUGAAAAAGACAAACAGACAAACAAUAGUACACAUGAUACAACAUAGAAAAUUAAAGAAUAAGCAACACGAACCCCACCAAAAACUAGGGAUGAUCUCAGGUGAUCUGGAAGGGUAAGCAGAUCCUGCUCCACAUGUGACACCCGUCUCGUCCUUUCUAUAGAAAGAUUCAUCUGACGAUACCAAAACCUUGUUGAUACACAUUCCGUAUCAAAUUCACAUAUAAAUAUUAUACAUGAUCAGUUAUCUUAAUGUAUAGAUUUUAAUCACGCGUUAUGGUGUUUUUUCUUUCCCUUUGUAAAUGAUUAACCUUGACGGUCUAGUCCUUUUUUGGUAAUAUCCUUUUGACGUGGUUCAGUACUUAUACAUCCCAG